UACACACCGCCCGUCACACCAUGGGAGUUGAUUGCUCCAGAAGUGGCCGUGCCAACCCGCAAGGGAGGCAAGCCCCAAGGAGUGGUCGGUAACUGGGGUG
RNAcentral lists this ribosomal RNA (100 nucleotides) under uncultured bacterium. RNAcentral's name for it is "partial 16S ribosomal RNA". It matches the Rfam family "Bacterial small subunit ribosomal RNA", at positions 1384 to 1482 of the family's 1533-position model. The record is from RNAcentral.